AACAGAACUAGUCCAUUUUUCUAUCAACAUAAGUACAAAGUUUUAAUUGGUAGAGAACAAAUGAUAGUACAUCUGUUUGCUUAAAAGCCUACAAAAAGGUCCAAAAACUGAAUAAUCAUUGGAAACAACAAUUAUUUCUUCUUCUGUAAUACCUUUACCUUCACUCUUCUUUCUCCUUCCCAUGAUAAUUUUUUGCUCCAACUCUAGAAUGAUUCUUGCAAGCCAUAUCGGUUUUUCCAGUUGAAAUCAUGAAAUAUACCAUGAUAUUUCAAUACAUAGUCCAUUUCCGUAGCCCAUAAAAGCAGCUUUCCAAAAAUCACUCAUAAAUUCAGAAUUGUUUUCUUCAUCAUCUAGCUGUUCAGAUACAACAUAAUAUGUCCCUGAUAUACGAUGAUCACCACAACUUUUUGUAACGGGAAAUCCACGUAAUCCAUCAUUCCCUUCAUAUGAAUUGUUCUCAAAGGUCUGAAAUUGAUUUCCUUGAGGAAUGCACCCUUUGUUAGGACCAGAAAUAAGCAGGUGUAGAUGCGGAAGCUAGCAAUGCAAACAUCGAAAGACCAUGAGUAAGAAGACAACGAGAAAUAUACCAAUAGACACAAAGACUUAACGUGGUUCGGUCAAUGGGGCCGCCUUUGAAAAAAAAGGAACUCGCUAGGCCUUCAGAACAAAGUAUCGACCUACAUCCACAAAGGAGAUGAGCAAUUCACUAUAAAUAUGAGAGUACAAAAUACAGAGGGAAACAAACUCAACCAAAUUCACUCAGAAUAAAUGGGAGGUUCACACAAGUGAUAACGUAUCAAGCUUGUGACCCAUAAAUUCUACCCCUAACCAAAA
Molecule: unclassified non-coding RNA, 834 nt
Filed under: Hevea brasiliensis (rubber tree)
Lineage: Eukaryota; Viridiplantae; Streptophyta; Magnoliopsida; Malpighiales; Euphorbiaceae
Source: RNAcentral